This 551-nucleotide ribosomal RNA is filed under the name Plectorhinchus sordidus (sordid rubberlip). RNAcentral's name for it is "partial 16S ribosomal RNA". It matches the Rfam family "Bacterial large subunit ribosomal RNA", at positions 1857 to 2604 of the family's 2925-position model. The record is from RNAcentral. Lineage: Eukaryota; Metazoa; Chordata; Actinopteri; Lutjaniformes; Haemulidae.
GCCUGCCCUGUGACCAAAAGUUUAACGGCCGCGGUAUUUUGACCGUGCGAAGGUAGCGCAAUCACUUGUCUCUUAAAUGGGGACCCGUAUGAAUGGCAUAACGAGGGCUUAGCUGUCUCCUUUUUCAAGUCAAUGAAAUUGAUCUCCCCGUGCAGAAGCGGGGAUAAUCACAUAAGACGAGAAGACCCUAUGGAGCUUUAGACACCAAGACAGACCAUGUUAAACACCCCUAACUAAAGGACCAAACUAAAUGACCACCUGUCCUAAUGUCUUCGGUUGGGGCGACCGCGGGGAAACACAAAACCCCCACGUGGAAGGGGAGCACCUCCACUCCUACAACCAAGAGCUUCCGCUCUACUAAACAGAAAAUCUGACCUUAAGAUCCGGCAAAGCCGAUCAACGGACCAAGUUACCCUAGGGAUAACAGCGCAAUCCCCUUCUAGAGCCCAUAUCGACAAGGGGGUUUACGACCUCGAUGUUGGAUCAGGACAUCCUAAUGGUGCAGCCGCUAUUAAGGGUUCGUUUGUUCAACGAUUAAAGUCCUACGUGAU